UUGUUGCCAGCGAUUAGGUCGGGAACUCAAAGGAGACUGCCAGUGAUAAACUGGAGGAAGGUGGGGAUGACGUCAAGUCAUCAUGGCCCUUACGACCAGGGCUACACACGUGCUACAAUGGCGCAUACAAAGAGAAGCGACCUCGCGAGAGCAAGCGGACCUCAUAAAGUGCGUCGUAGUCCGGAUUGGAGUCUGCAACUCGACUCCAUGAAGUCGGAAUCGCUAGUAAUCGUGGAUCAGAAUGCCACGGUGAAUACGUUCCCGGGCCUUGUACACACCGCCCGUCACACCAUGGGAGUGGGUUGCAAAAGAAGUAGGUAGCUUAACCUUCGGGAGGGCGCUUACCACUUUGUGAUUCAUGACUGGGGUGAAGUCGUAACAAGGUAACCGUAGGGGAACCUGCGGUUGGAUCACCUCCUUACCUGAAAGAA
RNAcentral lists this ribosomal RNA (431 nucleotides) under Salmonella enterica subsp. salamae serovar 42:f,g,t:--. RNAcentral's name for it is "bacterial SSU rRNA". It matches the Rfam family "Bacterial small subunit ribosomal RNA", at positions 1112 to 1533 of the family's 1533-position model. Lineage: Bacteria; Pseudomonadati; Pseudomonadota; Gammaproteobacteria; Enterobacterales; Enterobacteriaceae. The record is from RNAcentral.